This 480-nucleotide ribosomal RNA is filed under the name uncultured bacterium. Its description in RNAcentral is "bacterial SSU rRNA". It matches the Rfam family "Bacterial small subunit ribosomal RNA", at positions 28 to 507 of the family's 1533-position model. The record is from RNAcentral.
GAUGAACGCUGGCGGCGUGCCUAACACAUGCAAGUCGAGCGGGAUUCAUGAGGACGAUACUUCGGUUGAGGAAUCAUGAUGAGAGCGGCGGACGGGUGAGUAACGCGUAGGCAACCUGCCCCUGGCACAGGGAUAGCCUCGGGAAACCGGGAUUAAAACCUGAUAAAGCAGAGGAAUCACAUGGUUUUUUUGCCAAAGAUUUAUCGGCUGGGGAUGGGCCUGCGUCUGAUUAGUUAGUUGGUGGGGUAACGGCCUACCAAGGCGACGAUCAGUAGCCGACCUGAGAGGGUGAUCGGCCACAUUGGAACUGAGACACGGUCCAAACUCCUACGGGAGGCAGCAGUGGGGAAUAUUGGGCAAUGGGGGGAACCCUGACCCAGCGACGCCGCGUGGGUGAAGAAAUCCUUCGGGAUGUAAAGCCCUGUUGUAUGGGAAGAGCGGAAGACGGUACCAUACGAGGAAGCCCCGGCAAACUACGUG